GGGUGAAAGCCUGGGGUGCCCCGCGAGGGAGCCCUAGCACAGGUGCUGCAUGGCCGUCGUCAGCUCGUGCCGUGAGGUGUUGGGUUAAGUCCCGCAACGAGCGCAACCCUCGCCUUUAGUUGCCAGCAUUGAGUUGGGCACUCUAAAGGGACUGCCGGUGUUUAAAACCCGGGAGGAAGGUGAGGAUGACGUCAAGUCCUCAUGGCCCCUAUGUCCAGGGCUACACACGUGCUACAAUGGUCGGUACAAAGGGCUGCAAACCCGCAAGGGGGAGCCAAUCCCACAAAACUGACCUCAGUUCGGAUCGGAGUCUGCAACCCGACUCCGUGAAGUUGGAAUCGCUAGUAAUCGCGGAUCAGCAUGCCGCGGUGAAUACGUUCCCGGGCCUU
This 389-nucleotide ribosomal RNA is filed under the name uncultured Syntrophaceae bacterium. Its description in RNAcentral is "bacterial SSU rRNA". It matches the Rfam family "Bacterial small subunit ribosomal RNA", at positions 999 to 1382 of the family's 1533-position model. The record is from RNAcentral. Lineage: Bacteria; Pseudomonadati; Thermodesulfobacteriota; Syntrophia; Syntrophales; Syntrophaceae.